Molecule: ribosomal RNA, 497 nt
Filed under: uncultured bacterium
Lineage: Bacteria
Description: partial 16S ribosomal RNA
Rfam family: Bacterial small subunit ribosomal RNA
Source: RNAcentral
GACGAACGCUGGCGGCGUGCCUAAUACAUGCAAGUAGAACGCUGAAGAGAGGAGCUUGCUCUUCUUGGAUGAGUUGCGAACGGGUGAGUAACGCGUAGGUAACCUGCCUUGUAGCGGGGGAUAACUAUUGGAAACGAUAGCUAAUACCGCAUAACAAUGGAUGACACAUGUCAUUUAUUUGAAAGGGGCAAUUGCUCCACUACAAGAUGGACCUGCGUUGUAUUAGCUAGUAGGUGAGGUAAUGGCUCACCUAGGCGACGAUACAUAGCCGACCUGAGAGGGUGAUCGGCCGCACUGGGACUGAGACACGGCCCAGACUCCUACGGGAGGCAGCAGUAGGGAAUCUUCGGCAAUGGGGGCAACCCUGACCGAGCAACGCCGCGUGAGUGAAGAAGGUUUUCGGAUCGUAAAGCUCUGUUGUAAGUCAAGAACGGGUGUGAGAGUGGAAAGUUCACACUGUGACGGUAGCGUACCAGAAAGGGACGGCUAACUACGUG